RNAcentral lists this ribosomal RNA (440 nucleotides) under uncultured bacterium. Its description in RNAcentral is "partial 16S ribosomal RNA". It matches the Rfam family "Bacterial small subunit ribosomal RNA", at positions 338 to 795 of the family's 1533-position model. The record is from RNAcentral.
CCUACGGGCGGCAGCAGUGGGGGAUAUUGCACAAUGGGGGGAACCCUGAUGCAGCGACGCCGCGUGGGUGAAGGAGCGUUUCGGCGCGUAAAGCCCUAUCGGCAGGGAAGAAGAUGACGGUACCUGACCAAGAAUCCCCGGCUAACUACGUGCCAGCCGCCGCGGUACUAAGUAGGGGGCAAGCGUUAUCCGGAUUUACUGGGUGUAAAGGGGGCGCAGACGGGAAUGCAAGCCAGGAGUGAAAGCCCGGGGCCCAACCCCGGGACUGCGCUUGGAACUGGAUGGCUGGAGUACAGGAGGGGCAGGCGGAAUUCCUAGUGUAGCGGUGAAAUGCGUAGAUAUUAGGAGGAACAUCGGUGGCGAAGGCGACUAGCUGGAACAUAACUGACGCUGAGGAGCGAAAGCGUGGGUAGCAAACAGGAUUAGAUACCCCUGUAGUC